Molecule: transfer RNA, 72 nt
Filed under: Acropora cervicornis
Lineage: Eukaryota; Metazoa; Cnidaria; Anthozoa; Scleractinia; Acroporidae
Description: tRNA-Ser
Rfam family: tRNA
About the family: Transfer RNA (tRNA) molecules are approximately 80 nucleotides in length. Their secondary structure includes four short double-helical elements and three loops (D, anti-codon, and T loops).
Source: RNAcentral
GGCCUGAUAGCUCAACCGGUAGAGCGCUGCACUGGAAUCGCAGAGGUGAGGGUUUGAGUCCCCUUUAGGCCU